GCACAACGCGAAGAACCUUACCAGAACUUGACAUCUCCUGCAUUACCCGUAACUGGGGAAGUCCUUCGGGACAGGAAGACAGGUGGUGCAUGGUUGUCGUCAGCUCGUGUCGUGGGAUGUUGGGUUAAGUCCCGCAACGAGCGCAACCCUUAUCAUUAGUUGCCAGCAGUAAGAUGGGCACUCUAGUGAGACUGCCGGAGACAAUUCGGAGGAAGGCGGGGAUGAUGUCAAAUCAUCAUGCCCCUUAUGUUCUGGGCUACACACGUGCUACAAUGGGCGCAACAACGGGAAGCAAGCUAGUGAUAGUGAGCAAAUCCCUAAAAAUCGCUCUCAGUUCAGACUGUAGGCUGAAACUCGCCUACACGAAGGCGGAGUUGCUAGUAAUCGCGGAUCAGCAUG
RNAcentral lists this ribosomal RNA (399 nucleotides) under uncultured bacterium. RNAcentral describes it as "bacterial SSU rRNA". It matches the Rfam family "Bacterial small subunit ribosomal RNA", at positions 954 to 1356 of the family's 1533-position model. The record is from RNAcentral.